Molecule: ribosomal RNA, 442 nt
Filed under: uncultured bacterium
Lineage: Bacteria
Description: partial 16S ribosomal RNA
Rfam family: Bacterial small subunit ribosomal RNA
Source: RNAcentral
CCUACGGGGGGCAGCAGUGGGGAAUAUUGGGCAAUGGGCGCAAGCCUGACCCAGCACCGCCGCGUGAAGGAAGCAGGCUUUCGGGUUGUAACCUUCUUUUUAGAGGGAAGAGCAGAAGACGGUACCUCUUUAUUAAGCCCCGGCUAACUACGUGCCAGCAGCCGCGGUAAUACGUAGGUGGCAAGCGUUUUACGGAUUUACUGGGUGUAAAGGGCGUGCAGCCGGGAAGACAAGUCAGAUGUGAAAUCCCGCGGCUCAAUCGUGGAACUGCAUGUGAAACUGGUUUUCUUGAGUACCGGAGAGGUCAUCGGAAUUCGUGGUGUAGCGGUGAAAUGCGUAGAUAUAAGGAAGAACACCGGUGGCGAAGGCGGAUGACGAGACGGCAACUGACGGUGAGGCGCGAAAGCGUGGGGAGCAAACAGGAGUAGAUACCCUUGUAGUC